Molecule: ribosomal RNA, 566 nt
Filed under: uncultured bacterium
Lineage: Bacteria
Description: bacterial SSU rRNA
Rfam family: Bacterial small subunit ribosomal RNA
Source: RNAcentral
AUUCCUACGGGAGGCAGCAGUGGGGAAUCUCGGACAAUGGGCGCAAGCCUGAUCCAGCCAUGCCGCGUGAGUGAUGAAGGCCUUAGGGUCGUAAAGCUCUUUCGCCAGGGAUGAUAAUGACAGUACCUGGUAAAGAAACCCCGGCUAACUCCGUGCCAGCAGCCGCGGUAAUACGGAGGGGGUUAGCGUUGUUCGGAAUUACUGGGCGUAAAGCGCGCGUAGGUGGUUUGGUAAGCGAGAUGUGAAAGCCCCGGGCUUAACCUGGGAACGGCAUUUCGAACUGUCAGACUAGAGUGUGGUAGAGGGUAGUGGAAUUUCCUGUGUAGCGGUGAAAUGCGUAGAUAUUCGGAGGAACACCAGUGGCGAAGGCGGCUCACUGGCUCGAUACUGACGCUGAGGUGCGAAAGUGUGGGGAGCAAACAGGAUUAGAUACCCUGGUAGUCCACACCGUAAACGAUGAAUGCCAGUCGUCGGGUAGCAUGCUAUUCGGUGACACACCUAACGGAUUAAGCAUUCCGCCUGGGGAGUACGGUCGCAAGAUUAAAACUCAAAGGAAUUGACGGAAU